CAUGCAAGUCGAACGGAGGUCCUGCUUAUGCCGGGUGCCUUAGUGGCGGACGGGUGAGUAACGCGUGGGAACCUGCCCUUGAGUGGGGGACAACCAUUGGAAACGAUGGCUAAUACCGCAUAAUCCCUUUGGGGGAAAGGCUUAGGCCGCUCCUGGAUGGUCCCGCGUUAGAUUAGUUUGUUGGUGGGGUAACGGCUUACCAAGGCGACGAUCUAUAGCUGGUUUGAGAGGAUGAUCAGCCACACUGGGACUGAGACACGGCCCAGACUCCUACGGGAGGCAGCAGUGGGGAAUAUUGGACAAUGGGGGCAACCCUGAUCCAGCAAUGCCGCGUGAGUGAAGAAGGCCCUAGGGUUGUAAAGCUCUUUCAACUGUGAAGAUGAUGACGGUAGCAGUAGAAGAAGCCCCGGCUAACUCCGUGCCAGCAGCCGCGGUAAUACGGAGGGGGCUAGCGUUAUUCGGAAUUACUGGGCGUAAAGCGCACGUAGGCGGCGUAUCAAGUUAGAGGUGAAAGGCCUGGGCUCAACCCGGGAACUGCCUUUAAGACUGAUAUGCUUGAGUUCGGAAGAGGGUAGUGGAAUUCCAAGUGUAGAGGUGAAA
This 600-nucleotide ribosomal RNA is filed under the name uncultured Alphaproteobacteria bacterium. RNAcentral's name for it is "bacterial SSU rRNA". It matches the Rfam family "Bacterial small subunit ribosomal RNA", at positions 54 to 686 of the family's 1533-position model. Lineage: Bacteria; Pseudomonadati; Pseudomonadota; Alphaproteobacteria. The record is from RNAcentral.